RNAcentral lists this ribosomal RNA (479 nucleotides) under uncultured bacterium. RNAcentral's name for it is "bacterial SSU rRNA". It matches the Rfam family "Bacterial small subunit ribosomal RNA", at positions 332 to 802 of the family's 1533-position model. The record is from RNAcentral.
CGGCUUCCUACGGGAGGCAGCAGUGGGGAAUUUUGCACAAUGGACGAAAGUCUGAUGCAGCGACGCCGCGUGGAGGAUGACGGUCUUCGGAUUGUAAACUCCUGUUAAGAGGGACGAAAGCCGCUUGGUUAAUAUCCAAGCGAGAUGACGGUACCUCUAGAGAAAGCUCCGGCUAACUUCGUGCCAGCAGCCGCGGUAAUACGAAGGGAGCGAGCGUUAUUCGGAAUUACUGGGCGUAAAGAGCGCGUAGGCGGCUUAUUAAGUUAGUUGUUAAAGACCAUGGCUUACCCAUGGAAAUGCAAUUAAUACUGGUGAGCUAAGAGGGCAAGAGAGAGAAGUGGAAUUCUCGGAGUAGCGGUAAAAUGCGUAGAUCUCGAGAGGAACACCGAUGGCGAAGGCAGCUUCUUGGAUUGUGCCUGACGCUGAGGCGCGAAAGCGUGGGGAGCAAACAGGAUUAGAUACCCCAGUAGUCCAAGCCG